UACAGAGGUCUCGAGCGUUAGGCGGAAUCACUGGGCUUAAAGCGUGUGUAGGCGGAUCGGUAAGUACCUUGUGAAAUCCCACAGCUUAACUGUGGAACUGCUUGGUAUACUGCCAGUCUUGAGCUACUUAGGGGCUACCGGAACAAAUGGUGGAGCGGUGAAAUGCGUAGAUAUCAUUUGGAACGCCAAUGGUGAAAACAGGUAGCUGGGAGUGUGCUGACGCUGAGACACGAAAGCCAGGGGAGCAAACGGG
Molecule: ribosomal RNA, 253 nt
Filed under: uncultured bacterium
Lineage: Bacteria
Description: partial 16S ribosomal RNA
Rfam family: Bacterial small subunit ribosomal RNA
Source: RNAcentral